UACGGGAGGAGCAAGCGUUGUUCGGAUUUACUGGGCGUAAAGGGCUCGUAGGUGGCCAACUAAGUCAGACGUGAAAUCCCCAGGCUCAACUUGGGAACUGCGUCUGAUACUGGAUGGCUUGAAUUCGGGAGAGGGAUGCAGAAUUCCAGGUGUAGCGGUGAAAUGCGUAGAUAUCUGGAGGAAUACCGGUGGCGAAGGCGGCAUCCUGGACCGAGAUUGACACUGAUGAGCGAAAGCUAGGGGAGCAAACGGG
RNAcentral lists this ribosomal RNA (253 nucleotides) under uncultured bacterium. Its description in RNAcentral is "partial 16S ribosomal RNA". It matches the Rfam family "Bacterial small subunit ribosomal RNA", at positions 524 to 776 of the family's 1533-position model. The record is from RNAcentral.